RNAcentral lists this transfer RNA (110 nucleotides) under Candidatus Nanosalinarum sp. J07AB56. It matches the Rfam family "tRNA". From Rfam's summary of the family: Transfer RNA (tRNA) molecules are approximately 80 nucleotides in length. Their secondary structure includes four short double-helical elements and three loops (D, anti-codon, and T loops). Lineage: Archaea; Methanobacteriati; Methanobacteriota; Candidatus Nanohaloarchaea. The record is from Rfam by way of RNAcentral.
GGGCCCGUAGUUCAGUCCGGCAGAACGUCCCCUUUGCAACGACUGGUUACACCCAUUAGAACCAGCGUCAGGACAGGGGAAGGCCCAGGGUUCAAAUCCCUGCGGGUCCA